CCAUAACACCUAGUUUUAUCAUAUUUUUCUUUUCUUUUUGCCACAAGAUUUUGCAUCAUCUCCUCCAUCACCUUGUUACUAUUUUUAUCUAAUUUAUUCAACCCCAAAUAUGAAAUCUGAAACCUCCAAGAUCAAUUCCUAUCAUUGCCAAGAAGUACCAUUGCCGCCCAUAACAUCUAGCUUGUGUAAGAUCUCUUUUUCUUUCAAUUUCUUGUUAAAUCUUAUUAAAUAAAAACCUAAAUUUACAGAUUUGGAAUUUGGGGGAUUUUUAAAGAUUUAAUAGGUAUCUUUCAGCUUUUUAAUCAAUUCCAAAAGUGGUUUUAUGUCAGCCCGAAAAUGGCCACUGCGGGUGGUGGUGCACACACCUAUGGGCAAGAAAGGGGGUUGUUUUUAUUUAAUUAUUUCCUAUAUUUUUCCAGCAUGAUUUUGGGUUCUUGAACCCGUCCUAAUCAGCCUUGAAACAUGUUUUAAUUAAGGAAAAUCGAUCUUGAUCAUUUGACACUUCAGAUCUGACAAUUCGGGAAGCGUAAAUGUGGGUAAUUGUAAACUAGUGAAUAGAUUCGGUUUAGAUAUUGGGAAAAGUUGUUAAUUCAUCAAAUAAAGAAUUUUUAAUAAUAGAUUAGCUACUGAUUUUUUAGUAAUUAAUUGUGCUAGGUUCCGACUUAAAUGCCCAAAUUAGCAGUAAAGCCGGAAAACGUUUGCGCAUACGAUUCGCC
RNAcentral lists this long non-coding RNA (716 nucleotides) under Gossypium barbadense (sea-island cotton). RNAcentral describes it as "long non-coding RNA (GBAR_LNC019152)". Lineage: Eukaryota; Viridiplantae; Streptophyta; Magnoliopsida; Malvales; Malvaceae. The record is from RNAcentral.